Marchantia polymorpha subsp. ruderalis is the source of this 327-nucleotide non-coding RNA. The record is from the annotation of a GenBank genome assembly. NCBI's taxonomy places the organism in Eukaryota, Viridiplantae, Streptophyta, Marchantiopsida, Marchantiales, Marchantiaceae.
UGGCCAACGGUGGUACAUGGAGACCAUAGGUUUGCAACCGCCCAUCAUCUUUGUCCUCGGUAGCUCGCAAACCAGUGACCAUUGCUGGAGGUCAGAUCGGGUUUCAGUCGCGUCCCUGGGGAAACACAAAAGUGAGGCCUGGAAUUGCGGUAAAGAUCCAUCCCGGAUUUGCAUUCCUUGAAUGGUCGGUGCAAGAACUUGCUUCUCUCAGUAUGACAAGCUGAAAUUGGUCUGGUUCCUCGUCCAAACGCGUCAUGGUUACAGUGAUACCCGACAAAAUGCUAAGCUUCGUGCAAGGCUGUGGUCUCCAUGUACCACCAUUGGUCA